Molecule: ribosomal RNA, 240 nt
Filed under: Vibrio alginolyticus
Lineage: Bacteria; Pseudomonadati; Pseudomonadota; Gammaproteobacteria; Vibrionales; Vibrionaceae
Also listed under: 1 other name
Description: partial 16S ribosomal RNA
Rfam family: Bacterial small subunit ribosomal RNA
Source: RNAcentral
GAGGCAGCAGUGGGGAAUAUUGCACAAUGGGCGCAAGCCUGAUGCAGCCAUGCCGCGUGUGUGAAGAAGGCCUUCGGGUUGUAAAGCACUUUCAGUCGUGAGGAAGGUGGUAGUGUUAAUAGCACUAUCAUUUGACGUUAGCGACAGAAGAAGCACCGGCUAACUCCGUGCCAGCAGCCGCGGUAAUACGGAGGGUGCGAGCGUUAAUCGGAAUUACUGGGCGUAAAGCGCAUGCAGGUG